CCCCUGGUAGUCUAGUGGUUAGGCUUUGCCGCUCUCAGUGCCGCUGCCUGGGUUGGAUUCCCAGUCAUGUGA
RNAcentral lists this transfer RNA (72 nucleotides) under Homo sapiens (human). RNAcentral's name for it is "tRNA-Glu-CTC-11-1". The record is from RNAcentral. Lineage: Eukaryota; Metazoa; Chordata; Mammalia; Primates; Hominidae.